Triticum urartu is the source of this 3271-nucleotide non-coding RNA. NCBI's taxonomy places the organism in Eukaryota, Viridiplantae, Streptophyta, Magnoliopsida, Poales, Poaceae. The record is from RefSeq and is a predicted model, not a curated record.
AAACAUCAUUAUGCCCAGUUGAAGUAUCAAUAUGGCAUGGACCAACCUAUUCCCUGAAUGAACCAAAUUGAUUUCAUUCAGGUAGCUCUGUGAAUUUAUGUUAAUUUUAUUUCAAAUGAUGAGCUUAUAGUAGUAUGAUGUCUAAUUUAUAGCUAGGCAUUCACAGUAAUCAGUAUUCGUUGUAAGCUUCCACAAAACUUUGAAGCUAUCUGUUCAUGUUAUUUGAGCACAAACUGUUUUGAAGUUCAUCUGGUGACUGGUGCAUAGAAGUGAUGAUUCAGCACCAAUCUAGACAUCUACCUGGAAGAGCCUCUGACUGAGCUUUUCGCUGGUCAUAAACUAAUAAUUCUGUCUGAAAACUUACAGUAUGCUGUACGCAGUGCUUUCUUAUUUUUCUUUUUCAUCACAUUCUGAUAACGGCUGGAAUGGUUACCGAUUUUACUUUUCCAGUGCAUGCACUGUUGCUUAUAUUAACCUACUGCGCAGUAUGGUCAACAUGCUAAUCACGAUUCUUAAAAGUGUUGGAUCAUUGUUUUUCUUGGAUGAAAUUUGAGGUGUUGGGUAGUUGCCACAGCCUCAGCGGGCCAAAACAAGGGCAAAAAAGUUCUUAGUUACUUUUCUGAUAAGUUUUGUUAGUUGCUUUUUUGAUAAGUUAAAAAUAUAUUGCGGUCUAGUGGAUCUUACUAAGUUACUAGUGACUCAUGAAGCAAUACUCAUACCACACUUCAGUAGAGCUACUUUAUUCUUUAUCGUUUGCAUUUUCCCAGAAAGUUCUGAGUCUUGUCUUUGUGCUAAUCACACAUGGCUCAGAAGGCAGAACGCAGAACAGAUCAACUGGUCCAGUUUACAGAACUGUUCUGCUCCUAUCGGUGAAAAUAAUGAAGACAUGAAUCAAUUUUGACAUGUACUUGACUGUGGUAUAAAUAACUAUGGGUAAUAUUUGAAGAUAACCUCAAAGGAUGCUUCAAUUUGUUUGUGACUUGUUCUGAAUUCAUUAGAGGCAAAUCAUCUACAGUAGAAUGAGAUACCUUGGUAAUAAUGGACAAGAUGAGAUCUGUGACACUUUGAAUAAGCGGGAAUGCUGGUUGGCAUGUCAGAGAAAUAGAAUAAUGAGAAUCAUAUGGUUUGCUUGGGAUGAUAAGCGAAAAAAGCUCUAAGGUUUCCCUUCCUGCAUCCUUCUAUCUGACACCACUAAGUACUAACUGUGCACUAAUCAGAAUUAUCUGUUUCUACAUCAGGUCACCAAGAAUAGCUGUAUUCCGAACAUGAACAAUAAAGAUAGUGAUGUAUUUAGUCUUAUAUGUAGCUAAGUAACCUUUGAUGUUUUCUGACCUUUUUCCUUAAAAAGGAUUCAAUAUCAACUGUUUGUUUAGGUUAGCUACCGAGGGGACUUGAAUUUUAUUAUGCUAGAAUGGCUUACACUAGCUGGUUUAGUUGUGCUCUUAGGCCUUCCCCUGAUGGCUGACAUGCAGUAGGUAUGUUAAUCUACCCUUUAGCUGAGCCUUAUAGUGUUGUAUUGGAUUCAUCCCACUGAUUUGCACGAAGCAUCUAGACCCAAGACCUAAGAGGCUAGUAUGUGACAAUUUAUUGCUUGAAUUUUCAUUGUAGAGAAUCUGAUUUACUGUCUGACAUAAAAUCUCUAAUUUGAUCCUACUCAUCUUUCAGCUCUGUUGUAUUGAAUUGACAAUAUAGUUGACUUUCCAGACCUUAUCUGCUGAUGUCAUGACCUCCUUUGGUUUCAUCAUGAAUGGCUACUCAGGGGAUUCUUUGACGUGAAGGGGGUCACCCCUACAUGGCUAAACCUAAUUUAUGGAUUAGUCUGGUAAGAAUAUUGUAUCUAUGUUCCAGAGUUUAUCUUUCUAAGUAAACACGGGACGUUAUACAUCUGUUUUACUCUCCUUAAGCACGACAAACCUAAUUUCCAACCCUGAACAUGAUAUAUAUUUUUUGAACGGAAAAUUAUAGGGGAGGCUCGACAGUACAAAUUUAGUAAAACAAGUACCCAACUUUGUACUAAACCAGAGACAAGUAAUAUGGAUCGGAGGGAGUAGUAAUAUUUACAAGAGAGGGCUGUACAGGGGGAGGGGGAGAAGAACUGCUAAUCUGGUAAGCCUGCUCAUCCUUCAUUCUGUAAGAGAGAAGGAAAGGGUCUCUUUUAAUGAGAAAAGGCCAGGAGGCUAAACUAGGAGGAAUAUUAUGAAAAAAUUCUAGCAUUUCUUUGUUUCCAAAUGUUCCAAGCUGCUACAAGAAAGGCUUCUCUGGAGAGAGGUUUGCUGAGAGGAAGGAGCAAGGUAAAGAUUAAUUGAGGCCCAGCAGCCCCUGCUGAAGGAGCAGUUCCAGAAAAUAUGAUCACGAGUUUCAAGGGUCCUCGAGGAGAAGGGAAUGGCCAUGUUGAUGGGGUCGUCUUUCAAGCAUGUCUUGAGUAUUUAGUCUGUGUCAUUAAAGAGCAAACAGGCAAAAGCUUUGAGUUCGGCUGAGCAUUUGGAUUUCCACAUCCACGAGAAGAUGCUGUAUAUUUGGUGGCAUAAUAGCCAUUCCCCAAUUAGUCAGCUCUACAGCAGCUAUAUGAAUUACUCACAUAACCAUUGUGGGCCUGGGAGUGGAAUGGGAGUUUCUCUAGAGAGAGAAUGUAGAUGAAAUUGACAUGUAGCGAGGCAACAACGACAUCAUUGUGAAUCCCAGCAAUUGAGCACUCGACACAGUAAAGUUUAGUUUACUCUCAUUGUCCUUUCUCCAAUAAUGCAUUGUACGCUGGCCAAUUUAAAAUGCCACCUUGCAGAUUCUAGGUCCUUGCACUAUGAUUUACCUGGCAAAGCACCUGCAGACAUCAGCAUCCUCACGAGCAUAUAAGGCAACCCUUCCCUCUCCUCUUGUCCACAGCCCCUACCGACUAUGGAAGGCGCAUGGCUCGAGCAUCUACAUGGCUCUUGAGAGCGGAAGCAGGGUCGGGAUGAACCGCAAAGCUGAGCGCUUCAGCUUUGCGGUGCCUCUCCUGACCUCCCAGGUGGUCGCCUGAGGUACGCAAGAAUCGGCAAGUCACAAAACGGCAAUGGUGAACUCCGGCAGGAGUCCACCCCCCUUUUAUCCUUUUCUCUCCAUUCAGUUGUAUCAGGUGGAAGUCGAAUAAUCGGAAGUCUCUGUGUGUGAUGAAUCAAUGGAUGCUUCAAGUCCAUGUUUUGUUUUUCUCUUCCUUUAUUAUGUGUACUCUGGAAACACUACUAUAAAUGGCUGAUGUUCAUCUAGCAAAACCACUUUAUGGUGUCUUGUUUGA